AGAGUUUGAUCCUGGCUCAGGAUGAACUCUAGCGGCAGGCCUAAUACAUGCAAGUCGAACGGUAAAUGCCCCUUCGGGGGUAUGAGAGUGGCGCACGGGUGCGUAACGCGUAUGCAACCCACCCGCUGCCGGGGGAUAGCCCGGAGAAAUUCGGAUUAAUACCCCAUGAGGAGUUUGAGCGGCAUCGCUUGAAUUUCAAAACUUCGGUGGCGGCGGACGGGCAUGCGUGCCAUUAGAUAGUUGGCGGGGUAACGGCCCACCAAGUCGACGAUGGCUAGGGGAUCUGAGAGGACGGUCCCCCACACUGGUACUGAGACACGGACCAGACUCCUACGGGAGGCAGCAGUAAGGGAUAUUGGUCAAUGGGGGGAACCCUGAACCAGCCAUGCCGCGUGAGGGAGGAAGGCCCUACGGGUCGUAAACCUCUUUUGCCGGGGGAUAAGGACACCUACGUGUAGGUGUUUGAAGGUACCCGGAGAAUAAGCAUCGGCUAACUCCGUGCCAGCAGCCGCGGUAAUACGGAGGAUGCGAGCGUUAUCCGGAUUUAUUGGGUUUAAAGGGUGCGCAGGCGGGCGAUUAAGUCAGCGGUGAAAUGCCCGUGCUUAACGCGGGAGCUGCCGUUGAUACUGUCAUGCUUGAAUACUGUUGCCGUGGGAGGAAUGAGUAGUGUAGCGGUGAAAUGCAUAGAUAUUACUCAGAACACCGAUUGCGAAGGCAUCUCACGAAGCAGCGAUUGACGCUGAGGCACGAAAGCGUGGGGAUCAAACAGGAUUAGAUACCCUGGUAGUCCACGCAGUAAACGAUGAUGACUAACCGUCGGCGAUAGACAGUCGGUGGCCAAGCGAAAGCGAUAAGUCAUCCACCUGGGGAGUACGACCGCAAGGUUGAAACUCAAAGGAAUUGACGGGGGCCCGCACAAACAGUGGAUUAUGUGGUUUAAUUCGACGCAACGCGAAGAACCUUACCAGGUCUUGACAUCGUGCGCAUAGUCUAGAGAUAGAUGAAGUCCUUCGGGACGCACAGACAGAUGGUGCAUGGUUGUCGUCAGCUCGUGUCGUGAGAUGUUGGGUUAAGUCCCGCAACGAGCGCAACCCUUGCUGUUAGUUGCUACGCAAGAGCACUCUAACAGGACUGCCGUUGACAAAACGGAGGAAGGUGGGGAUGACGUCAAAUCAUCAUGCCUCUUACGACCUGGGCCACACACGUACUACAAUGGCCGACAACAGAGGGAAGCAAAAUCGCGAGGUGGAGCAAAACCCUAAAAUCGGUCUCAGUUCGGAUUGUAGGCUGCAACCCGCCUACAUGAAGCCGGAAUUGCUAGUAAUCGCAGAUCAGCAUGCUGCGGUGAAUACGUUCCCGGGCCUUGCACACACCGCCCGUCAAG
RNAcentral lists this ribosomal RNA (1384 nucleotides) under uncultured bacterium. RNAcentral describes it as "partial 16S ribosomal RNA". It matches the Rfam family "Bacterial small subunit ribosomal RNA". The record is from RNAcentral.